AUCUCGAUUUAGUACGUAAACCAGCUUAUUUUUCUCCACAGAUGCAAUCAUAGCGGCCCUCCCCUUCGCAUCUAUGGCUAAGUAUUCACCAGGAACAACUCUUCGAAUUCCUGAUUUUCCAAAAGUUUCCUGGUAUAUUGGCACUAAUUUAUUUUUUUCAACGUUAUAUUCCAAAAUGGUUAUUCGUCCUGAAUCCGACGUGACUACGAGAUAAUCGCGUUUAAAACCAGUUAAUCUCAAAGGAGCAACAUUUCGAAUAAUACCAAAACAAUUUUGAUUUAAAAUACAAUUCAUUCUCCCAUCAGUUGCAUCAACUUUAUAUAUAAGCAACCUUGAUUCUGUAGCAAUUACUAUCUCCUGUGCCUUUUUACCAGACAAGGACGCGGCACACGAACUUUGAACAUAAUUACUAUUCUGUAUUGUUAAGGAAUAUAGAAACAGAGAAGGGAAGGUGUCCAUCUCUAUACUUUAGCUGAAACACGAUCCUCGCUGAGAGAAGAAGUCAGUGUAUCAAGGAAACU
This is a non-coding RNA of Schizosaccharomyces pombe (fission yeast), 521 nucleotides long. The record is from the annotation of a GenBank genome assembly. NCBI's taxonomy places the organism in Eukaryota, Fungi, Ascomycota, Schizosaccharomycetes, Schizosaccharomycetales, Schizosaccharomycetaceae.